Molecule: long non-coding RNA, 573 nt
Organism: Mus musculus (house mouse)
Lineage: Eukaryota; Metazoa; Chordata; Mammalia; Rodentia; Muridae
Product: predicted gene, 30136
Exons: 4
Source: RefSeq, a predicted model, not a curated record
CCUCCUGUUCUUCCUCCUCGUCUCCUUCUUCAAGUAAGGUCUCACUGUGUAGCCCUGAUUGAUCCAGAACUCCCUGCAUGGACCAGGCAACAGAUUGGUCUUGAACACACAGAGAUCCAUAUGCCUGUCUCCCAAGUGCUGAGAUUACAGAGAAAAGGGACACUGAAGAAAAACACUCAAGAGCCCUGGCUCAGGCAAAAUCUGCUCCAGGAUUGCUUCAUUUAGCCAUGCCCCGAGAACCUGGUGACAGACCCCAGGAAGGAUGUCAAAGGCUGCUUUGCCAGAUAUACCAGUCUCCACCUCCAGGCCUUCUCUCCUCCGCACAGUUCAAGAAUACAAAACGAGGGGCUGGAGGAGUGAGUUCUUGCAGAGGAUCCAAGUUUGUUUCCCUGUACUCAGGUCAUGCAGCUCAGAGCUGCCUUGUCUCCACUUCCAGGGGAUUCAGCAUGCUGCUUUAGAUUGCAUAAGCGUCUGAACUCACCAGUGCACAUAUCAACAUACAGACCCAUACACACGUAAAUAAUUAAAAGGAUAUGCAUCUUUUAAACAAGCUUUCAAAAAUAAAGUGUGAUC